GACAGUUUGGCUGAGUGGUCUAAAACGCCAUAUUUAGGCUUUGGUCCGAAACGACAUGGGUUCAAAUCCCACAACUGUCA
This is a non-coding RNA of Picea glauca (white spruce), 80 nucleotides long. The record is from Rfam. Lineage: Eukaryota; Viridiplantae; Streptophyta; Pinopsida; Pinales; Pinaceae.